RNAcentral lists this ribosomal RNA (374 nucleotides) under uncultured bacterium. RNAcentral's name for it is "bacterial SSU rRNA". It matches the Rfam family "Bacterial small subunit ribosomal RNA", at positions 524 to 898 of the family's 1533-position model. The record is from RNAcentral.
UACGGAGACUGCGAGCGUUAUUCGGAUUCACUGGGCGUAAAGGGUGCGCAGGCGGCCGUGUGUUAGGUGUGAAAGCCCGAGGCUCAACCUCGGAAUUGCGCCUAAAACUACACGGCUAGAGUAUUGGAGAGGUGAGCGGAAUUCACGGUGUAGCAGUGAAAUGCGUAGAUAUCGUGAGGAACACCAGAGGCGAAGGCGGCUCACUGGACAAUUACUGACGCUCAGGCACGAAAGCGUGGGGAGCGAAAGGGAUUAGAUACGCCUGUAGUCCACGCCCUAAACGGUGCAUACUAGGUCUUGGAGGAUUCGACCCCUUCAGGGCCCCAGCUAACGCGUUAAGUAUGCCGCCUGAGGACUACGGCCGCAAGGCUAAA